CUGCAAAAGGAUUUAGAUAUGAGCCACUGGUAGGCAACCAUCUUGUCAGCUGGAGGAAUGAGGGCUUCAGUCCUAAAGGGGGCUUUGGGUGUAGGUCUAGCCCAUACUCUGUGCUAACCACUCAACCUUCAGUAACCUGACUUUCUCUCUCCUGAGCUCCAGACUCUAUUUACAUUCAAUUUGGAGUUGGAAAAUCCCCUCUGGACAUCACAUAAGAGCCAAGAAAACAUUCAGAAUGAUUUGGCAGUGAAGCCAUCAGGACCUGGGCUUUUCUUAGUUGAACUGGGCAUCAAACUCAGGAACUUGCACUUGCCAGGCCAGCAUGGUGCCUCUGAGCUACAUCCCUGGUCCAACAUUAUUUUAUAGUAACAUUGUUUUAGGGCCUCUUAAUGGAGACUAUCUUUGCCUGGAUAAUUACUGGUGAACAGAGACCUUUAAAAUAUAGAAAAAUCAUGUUCACCUUCAGCCUUGGGGAUUGCUAAGUGACACACUGCUUGUCCAGCAGACAGUUAAGGGACAUUGUCCAUCAGAAAGGAAGGAAUAAUUUGAAGCCAGAGUAUAUAGCUGAAAUAAAGAGCAGAAGCCUUCCAGAAAGCAGGCAGCAAUACCAAGGAAUUGCUGUUUUGCCACAGGUAACUUUUCUGCACACAUUCUCCAGCAGUGUCACAGGGAAGGACUGGAAGAAAUGAGGCUGUGGG
Molecule: long non-coding RNA, 698 nt
Filed under: Heterocephalus glaber (naked mole-rat)
Lineage: Eukaryota; Metazoa; Chordata; Mammalia; Rodentia; Bathyergidae
Description: lncRNA (ENSHGLG00000038061.1)
Source: RNAcentral